Molecule: ribosomal RNA, 292 nt
Filed under: uncultured bacterium
Lineage: Bacteria
Description: partial 16S ribosomal RNA
Rfam family: Bacterial small subunit ribosomal RNA
Source: RNAcentral
GUGUCAGCAGCCGCGGUAAGACAGAGGGUGCGAACGUUGUUCGGAAUUACUGGGCGUAAAGCGUGUGUAGGCGGCAAGGCAAGUCGGAUGUGAAAUCCCGUGGCUCAACCAUGGACGUGCACUCGAAACUGCCUAGCUAGAGUCUCGGAGAGGAAGGUGGAAUGCUUGGUGUAGAGGUGAAAUUCGUAGAUAUCAAGCAGAACACCUGUGGCGAAGGCGGCCUUCUGGACGAUGACUGACGCUGAGACACGAAAGCGUGGGGAGCAAACAGGAUUAGAAACCCUGGUAGUCC